RNAcentral lists this ribosomal RNA (484 nucleotides) under uncultured bacterium. RNAcentral describes it as "partial 16S ribosomal RNA". It matches the Rfam family "Bacterial small subunit ribosomal RNA", at positions 39 to 507 of the family's 1533-position model. The record is from RNAcentral.
GGGGGGGGGGGGCGGGGGGGCGGGCGCGGGGAGGUGGGGGGGGGGGGGGGGGCGUGCUGCUGGAUGCAGCGGCGGACGGGUGAGUAAUGCCUAGGAAGCUGCCUGGUGGUGGGGGAUAACGUCCGGAAACGGGCGCUCAUACCGCAUACGUCCUGAGGGCGUAAGGGGGGGAUCUUCGGACCUCCCGCUAUCAGAUGAGCCUAGGUCGGAUUAGCUAGUUGGUGGGGUAAAGGCCUACCAAGGCGACGAUCCGUACCUGGUCUGAGAGGAUGAUCAGUCACACUGGAACUGAGACACGGUCCAGACUCCUACGGGAGGCAGCAGUGGGGAAUAUUGGACAAUGGGCGAAAGCCUGAUCCAGCCAUGCCGCGUGUGUGAAGAAGGUCUUCGGAUUGUAAAGCACUUUAAGUGGGGAGGAAGGGCAGUAAGUUAAUACCUUGCUGUUUUGACGUUACCAACAGAAUAAGCACCGGCUAACUUCGUG